This 330-nucleotide ribosomal RNA is filed under the name uncultured eukaryote. Its description in RNAcentral is "partial 18S ribosomal RNA". It matches the Rfam family "Eukaryotic small subunit ribosomal RNA", at positions 1470 to 1796 of the family's 1831-position model. The record is from RNAcentral.
CCCUUAGAUGUCCGGGGCUGCACGCGCGCUACACUGUAGAAAGCAGCGUGCUUUAAAACCUUUCCUGAAAAGGAUGGGUAACCCCAGCAAAAUUCUACGUGCUUGGGAUAGAGAUUUGCAAUUUUCUCUCUUGAACGAGGAAUUCCCAGUAAGUGCGAGUCAUCAGCUCGCGUUGAUUACGUCCCUGCCCUUUGUACACGCCGCCCGUCGCUACUACCGAUUGGGAAAAUUUUAGAGAGUCCUGGACUGAUGAUUGUUCGGCUUCACGGCCUUACUUUCGUCGGGAAAGAAUUCGAUAAUAUUUUUCUAGAGGAAGUAAAAGUCGUAACA